ACGCUCGACACCUACGGGGGGCAGCAGUGGGGAAUAUUGGGCAAUGGGCGCAAGCCUGACCCAGCAACGCCGCGUGAAGGAAGAAGGCUUUCGGGUUGUAAACUUCUUUUGUCAGGGAAGAGCAGAAGACGGUACCUGACGAAUAAGCCACGGCUAACUACGUGCCAGCAGUCGCGGUAAUCUGAGCGGGCUGGCAAGGC
This 200-nucleotide ribosomal RNA is filed under the name uncultured bacterium. Its description in RNAcentral is "partial 16S ribosomal RNA". It matches the Rfam family "Bacterial small subunit ribosomal RNA", at positions 328 to 539 of the family's 1533-position model. The record is from RNAcentral.